GUGAGGGAGGAAGGCUCUUGGGUUGUAAACCUCUUUUCUCAGGGAAGAAAAAAAUGACGGUACCUGAGGAAUAAGCAUCGGCUAACUCCGUGCCAGCAGCCGCGGUAAUACGGAGGAUGCAAGCGUUAUCCGGAAUGAUUGGGCGUAAAGCGUCCGCAGGUGGCUAUGUAAGUCUGCUGUUAAAGAGUGAGGCUCAACCUCAUAAGAGCAGUGGAAACUACAUAGCUAGAGUGCGUUCGGGGCAGAGGGAAUUCCUGGUGUAGCGGUGAAAUGCGUAGAGAUCAGGAAGAACACCGGUGGCGAAAGCGCUCUGCUAGGCCGCAACUGACACUGAGGGACGAAAGCUUAGGGGAGCGAAUGGGAUUAGAUACCCCAGUAGUCCUAGCCGUAAACGAUGGAAUACUAGGCGUGGCUUGUAUCGACCCGAGGCCGUGCCGGAGUCUAACGCGUUAAGUAUCCCGCCUGGGGAGUACGCACGCAAGUGUGAAACUCAAAGGAAUUGACGGGGGCCCGCACAAGCGGUGGAGUAUGUGGUUUAAUUCGAUGCAACAGCGAAGAACCUUACCAAGACUUGACCAUGUCGCGAACCCUCUGGAAAGGGAGGGGUGCCUUCGGGAGCGCGAACAC
This 627-nucleotide ribosomal RNA is filed under the name Calothrix brevissima Ind10. RNAcentral's name for it is "bacterial SSU rRNA". It matches the Rfam family "Bacterial small subunit ribosomal RNA", at positions 401 to 1035 of the family's 1533-position model. Lineage: Bacteria; Bacillati; Cyanobacteriota; Cyanophyceae; Nostocales; Calotrichaceae. The record is from RNAcentral.